UUGUUGCUCUGGAUGUGUAGUGCACACCUUGUAUGGCAGCACCCUGACAUCGGGGUGAAUGUGGGGCAUUAUUGUAAUGCGCUUUGAGCAUCUGAUGCAGAUGGAAAAGCGCUAUAUAGAAUGCAGUCCAUGUACCAUUUACCAUAACUGCUAGGCCACACAUUGAAAGUUAAGUGUGGUAACAGCUAACACGCUAGUGAAAAAGUAAACUGUAGUAAUCACUAACACACUAAUGGAAAAGUUAACCAUGGUAACUG
This is a long non-coding RNA of Thalassophryne amazonica, 257 nucleotides long. RefSeq lists it as uncharacterized. NCBI's taxonomy places the organism in Eukaryota, Metazoa, Chordata, Actinopteri, Batrachoidiformes, Batrachoididae. The transcript has 3 exons. The record is from RefSeq and is a predicted model, not a curated record.